AGAGUUUGAUCAUGGCUCAGGACGAACGCUGGCGGCGUGCUUAACACAUGCAAGUCGAACGGAAAGGCCCUUCGGGGUACUCGAGUGGCGAACGGGUGAGUAACACGUGGGUGAUCUGCCCCGCACUUUGGGAUAAGCCUGGGAAACUGGGUCUAAUACCGAAUAUGACCAUGCGCCUCCUGGUGUGUGGUGGAAAGCUUUUGCGGUGUGGGAUGGGCCCGCGGCCUAUCAGCUUGUUGGUGGGGUAAUGGCCUACCAAGGCGACGACGGGUAGCCGGCCUGAGAGGGUGACCGGCCACACUGGGACUGAGAUACGGCCCAGACUCCUACGGGAGGCAGCAGUGGGGAAUAUUGCACAAUGGGCGCAAGCCUGAUGCAGCGACGCCGCGUGAGGGAUGACGGCCUUCGGGUUGUAAACCUCUUUCAGCACAGACGAAGCGCAAGUGACGGUAUGUGCAGAAGAAGGACCGGCCAACUACGUGCCAGCAGCCGCGGUAAUACGUAGGGUCCGAGCGUUGUCCGGAAUUACUGGGCGUAAAGAGCUCGUAGGUGGUUUGUCGCGUUGUCCGUGAAAACUCACAGCUUAACUGUGGGCGUGCGGGCGAUACGGGCAGACUUGAGUACUGCAGGGGAGACUGGAAUUCCUGGUGUAGCGGUGGAAUGCGCAGAUAUCAGGAGGAACACCGGUGGCGAAGGCGGGUCCCUGGGCAGUAACUGACGCUGAGGAGCGAAAGCGUGGGGAGCGAACAGGAUUAGAUACCCUGGUAGUCC
RNAcentral lists this ribosomal RNA (771 nucleotides) under uncultured bacterium. RNAcentral's name for it is "bacterial SSU rRNA". It matches the Rfam family "Bacterial small subunit ribosomal RNA", at positions 8 to 796 of the family's 1533-position model. The record is from RNAcentral.